RNAcentral lists this ribosomal RNA (428 nucleotides) under uncultured bacterium. RNAcentral describes it as "bacterial SSU rRNA". It matches the Rfam family "Bacterial small subunit ribosomal RNA", at positions 954 to 1386 of the family's 1533-position model. The record is from RNAcentral.
GCAAAACGCGAAGAACCUUACCUACCCUUGACAUGUCUGGAAUCCCGAAGAGAUUUGGGAGUGCUCGCAAGAGAACCGGAACACAGGUGCUGCAUGGCUGUCGUCAGCUCGUGUCGUGAGAUGUUGGGUUAAGUCCCGCAACGAGCGCAACCCUUGUCAUUAGUUGCUACGAAAGGGCACUCUAAUGAGACUGCCGGUGACAAACCGGAGGAAGGUGGGGAUGACGUCAAGUCCUCAUGGCCCUUAUAGGUGGGGCUACACACGUCAUACAAUGGCCGGUACAAAGGGCAGCCAACCCGCGAGGGGGAGCCAAUCCCAUAAAGCCGGUCGUAGUCCGGAUCGCAGUCUGCAACUCGACUGCGUGAAGUCGGAAUCGCUAGUAAUCGUGGAUCAGCAUGUCACGGUGAAUACGUUCCCGGGUCUUGUAC